Molecule: ribosomal RNA, 2614 nt
Filed under: Klebsiella pneumoniae
Lineage: Bacteria; Pseudomonadati; Pseudomonadota; Gammaproteobacteria; Enterobacterales; Enterobacteriaceae
Description: partial 23S ribosomal RNA
Rfam family: Bacterial large subunit ribosomal RNA
Source: RNAcentral
UGUGAACUCGAAGAGUAGGGCGGGACACGUGGUAUCCUGUCUGAAUAUGGGGGGACCAUCCUCCAAGGCUAAAUACUCCUGACUGACCGAUAGUGAACCAGUACCGUGAGGGAAAGGCGAAAAGAACCCCGGCGAGGGGAGUGAAAAAGAACCUGAAACCGUGUACGUACAAGCAGUGGGAGCACCUUCGGGUGUGACUGCGUACCUUUUGUAUAAUGGGUCAGCGACUUAUAUUCUGUAGCAAGGUUAACCGUAUAGGGGAGCCGCAGGGAAACCGAGUCUUAACUGGGCGUUAAGUUGCAGGGUAUAGACCCGAAACCCGGUGAUCUAGCCAUGGGCAGGUUGAAGGUUGGGUAACACUAACUGGAGGACCGAACCGACUAAUGUUGAAAAAUUAGCGGAUGACUUGUGGCUGGGGGUGAAAGGCCAAUCAAACCGGGAGAUAGCUGGUUCUCCCCGAAAGCUAUUUAGGUAGCGCCUCGUGAACUCAUCUUCGGGGGUAGAGCACUGUUUCGGCUAGGGGGUCAUCCCGACUUACCAACCCGAUGCAAACUACGAAUACCGAAGAAUGUUAUCACGGGAGACACACGGCGGGUGCUAACGUCCGUCGUGAAGAGGGAAACAACCCAGACCGCCAGCUAAGGUCCCAAAGUCAUGGUUAAGUGGGAAACGAUGUGGGAAGGCACAGACAGCCAGGAUGUUGGCUUAGAAGCAGCCAUCAUUUAAAGAAAGCGUAAUAGCUCACUGGUCGAGUCGGCCUGCGCGGAAGAUGUAACGGGGCUAAACCAUGCACCGAAGCUGCGGCAGCGACACUAUGUGUUGUUGGGUAGGGGAGCGUUCUGUAAGCCUGCGAAGGUGUGCUGUGAGGCAUGCUGGAGGUAUCAGAAGUGCGAAUGCUGACAUAAGUAACGAUAAAGCGGGUGAAAAGCCCGCUCGCCGGAAGACCAAGGGUUCCUGUCCAACGUUAAUCGGGGCAGGGUGAGUCGACCCCUAAGGCGAGGCCGAAAGGCGUAGUCGAUGGGAAACAGGUUAAUAUUCCUGUACUUGGUGUUACUGCGAAGGGGGGACGGAGAAGGCUAUGUUAGCCGGGCGACGGUUGUCCCGGUUUAAGCAUGUAGGCUGGUUAUCCAGGCAAAUCCGGAUAAUCAAGGCUGAGGUGUGAUGACGAGGCACUACGGUGCUGAAGUAACAAAUGCCCUGCUUCCAGGAAAAGCCUCUAAGCAUCAGGUAACNNNNNNNNNNNNNNNNNNNNNNNNNNNNNNNNNNNNNNNNNNNNNNNNNNNNNNNNNNNNNNNNNNNNNNNNNNNNNNNNNNNNNNNNNACCAAGGCUGAGGUGUGAUGACGAGGCACUACGGUGCUGAAGUAACAAAUGCCCUGCUUCCAGGAAAAGCCUCUAAGCAUCAGGUAACAUCAAAUCGUACCCCAAACCGACACAGGUGGUCAGGUAGAGAAUACCAAGGCGCUUGAGAGAACUCGGGUGAAGGAACUAGGCAAAAUGGUGCCGUAACUUCGGGAGAAGGCACGCUGGUGUGUAGGUGAAGUCCCUGCGGAUGGAGCUGAGACCAGUCGAAGAUACCAGCUGGCUGCAACUGUUUAUUAAAAACACAGCACUGUGCAAACACGAAAGUGGACGUAUACGGUGUGACGCCUGCCCGGUGCCGGAAGGUUAAUUGAUGGGGUUAUCCGUAAGGAGAAGCUCUUGAUCGAAGCCCCGGUAAACGGCGGCCGUAACUAUAACGGUCCUAAGGUAGCGAAAUUCCUUGUCGGGUAAGUUCCGACCUGCACGAAUGGCGUAAUGAUGGCCAGGCUGUCUCCACCCGAGACUCAGUGAAAUUGAACUCGCUGUGAAGAUGCAGUGUACCCGCGGCAAGACGGAAAGACCCCGUGAACCUUUACUAUAGCUUGACACUGAACAUUGAGCCUUGAUGUGUAGGAUAGGUGGGAGGCUUUGAAGCGUGGACGCCAGUCUGCGUGGAGCCAACCUUGAAAUACCACCCUUUAAUGUUUGAUGUUCUAACGUUGGCCCCUGACCGGGGUUGCGGACAGUGUCUGGUGGGUAGUUUGACUGGGGCGGUCUCCUCCCAAAGCGUAACGGAGGAGCACGAAGGUUAGCUAAUCCUGGUCGGACAUCAGGAGGUUAGUGCAAUGGCAUAAGCUAGCUUGACUGCGAGCGUGACGGCGCGAGCAGGUGCGAAAGCAGGUCAUAGUGAUCCGGUGGUUCUGAAUGGAAGGGCCAUCGCUCAACGGAUAAAAGGUACUCCGGGGAUAACAGGCUGAUACCGCCCAAGAGUUCAUAUCGACGGCGGUGUUUGGCACCUCGAUGUCGGCUCAUCACAUCCUGGGGCUGAAGUAGGUCCCAAGGGUAUGGCUGUUCGCCAUUUAAAGUGGUACGCGAGCUGGGUUUAGAACGUCGUGAGACAGUUCGGUCCCUAUCUGCCGUGGGCGCUGGAGAAUUGAGGGGGGCUGCUCCUAGUACGAGAGGACCGGAGUGGACGCAUCACUGGUGUUCGGGUUGUCAUGCCAAUGGCACUGCCCGGUAGCUAAAUGCGGAAGAGAUAAGUGCUGAAAGCAUCUAAGCACGAAACUUGCCCCGAGAUGAGUUCUCCCUGAGACU